Molecule: ribosomal RNA, 431 nt
Filed under: uncultured bacterium
Lineage: Bacteria
Description: partial 16S ribosomal RNA
Rfam family: Bacterial small subunit ribosomal RNA
Source: RNAcentral
CCUACGGGGGGCAGCAGUGGGGAAUAUUGCACAAUGGGCGCAAGCCUGAUGCAGCAACGCCGCGUGAGGGAUGACGGCCUUCGGGUUGAAACCUCUGCCGAAAGCCAAGCGGUACUGGGAGAAAAAGCACCGGCUAACUACGUGCCAGCAGCCGCGGUAAUACGUAGGGUGCAAGCGUUGUCCGGAAUUAUUGGGCGUAAAGAGCUCGUAGGCGGUUUGUCGCGUCUGCUGUGAAAUCCCGAGGCUCAACCUCGGGCCUGCAGUGGGUACGGGCAGACUAGAGUGCGGUAGGGGAGAUUGGAAUUCCUGGUGUAGCGGUGGAAUGCGCAGAUAUCAGGAGGAACACCGAUGGCGAAGGCAGAUCUCUGGGCCGUACUGACGCUGAGGAGCGAAAGCGUGGGGAGCGAACAGGAUUAGAUACCCUUGUAGUC